UUCAGAGGUAUCGAGCGUUGUUCGGAUUUACUGGGCGUAAAGGGAGCGUAGGCGGCCGGGUGUGUCGAAUGUGAGAGCCCACAACUCAACUGUGGAAUGGCAUUCGAAACUACCUGGCUAGAGUACUGGAGAGGAGAGCAGAAUUCUUGGUGUAGCGGUGAAAUGCGUAGAUAUCAAGAGGAACACCGGUGGCGAAGGCGGCUCUCUGGACAGAUACUGACGCUGAGGCUCUAAAGUUAGGGGAGCAAACAGGAUUA
RNAcentral lists this ribosomal RNA (257 nucleotides) under uncultured prokaryote. RNAcentral describes it as "partial 16S ribosomal RNA". It matches the Rfam family "Bacterial small subunit ribosomal RNA", at positions 524 to 780 of the family's 1533-position model. The record is from RNAcentral.